GGUCAAGUAGAAAAGGGCGCAUGGUGAAUGCCUAGGCACUAGAAGCCGAUGAAGGACGUGACGAACCACGAAAGGCUUCGGGGAGCAGUAAGUAAGCGAUGAUCCGGAGAUAUCCGAAUGGGGGAACCCAAUACCGCGAGGUAUUAUCAAGAGCUGUUAAGGCUGUUGAAGGAAGACGCAGUGAACUGAAACAUCUAAGUAGCUGCAGGAAGAGAAAGAAAAAUCGAUUUCCCAAGUAGCGGCGAGCGAACAGGAAAGAGCCCAAACCAGCUGGCUUGCCAGUUGGGGUAGUAGGACUGCAAUAAAGUACUUGAAGCGAUAGCAGAAUUAUCUGGAAAGAUAAGCCAGAGAGGGUGAGAGCCCCGUAAGCGAAAUUGCAGAGAGACUUAGCAGGAUCCUGAGUAGGUCGGGACACGAGGAAUCCCGAUUGAAACCGCGAGGACCAUCUCGCAAGGCU
Molecule: ribosomal RNA, 457 nt
Filed under: Lactobacillus acidophilus
Lineage: Bacteria; Bacillati; Bacillota; Bacilli; Lactobacillales; Lactobacillaceae
Description: bacterial LSU rRNA
Rfam family: Bacterial large subunit ribosomal RNA
Source: RNAcentral